UUUUAAUCAACCACUAUAAUAUUAGACGCUCAAAUUUCAGAUAUCUAUCGAACCCUAUUUACAGUUUUCAGAUCAAACGCUAUCAACCACCAGAUCUCAUCCAAUUCGCUUAUGUCGACGAUUUUUCGUCCCUAAACUACGGAGAUGAAGUGCUUCCUUUCUCGAGAUGUGGAGGCGCGAGAAGGAGGAGAACAAUGCGGUUUUCUCCUUCUUCCUCUGAAAAAAAAACGCCGACGAGCUCGACGUUAUUGCCGAUGCUGCUGCUCCUCCGUAUUCUGACACUGCGUAGGCGCGACGGUUUCUAAGACUGUUAGAGCGAUGGCGCCGCAGGGGAAAAUUCGGGUGGAUGAGUUUUGAAUUCAGAGGAUGAGAAGUCUGAUUACGACUGGAUCAGGGUUCUUUAUACUGCCACAUUGAAUUCCAAGAUCAUGUUGCAGAGAAAGGUUUUGGUUGGAAGAGUUGUGCUAUAAGGUGCUACUAGAGAUUGCUUACCAGUUACAACUAUGCUAAAUCAAUUGAAGAGUGGGGUUCACUCUGCAAUACACACUGAAGGUUCACGGUCCUUCAACCGAGAACUGAAAAUUUUGAUUGCAAGGUGGUUGGUGGUUCUAAUUCAUGAGGGUUUAUAACUCAAAUAUCAACUAAUACAUUUACGGAUUUCUGCAAAUUUGAAGUGUGGUUGGCUUGCUGGAGAUGUGUCUUCUUGAAGAAAUGAUUGCAGAGAAGAUGAAUAUCAUUGGAGGACCAAGGUUGGAACUAGGACUUGAGUUUGUUUUAGAGUGAAACAAAGUCUACAUGUUUUGGUACACAACUGUAGCAUAACUCGGUGAUUUGGUAUUCUUAAUAGAACUACUCAUUUUGUUGUUAACUUUUAGUGUAAUAUUUGAAUAUGUGAAUUUUUAUAAAUUAAAUAUGCAAUUUUGUACAUAAAUAUUUAUUUGUUUAUUGAUUAAAUAAUUUUUU
Molecule: small RNA, 963 nt
Filed under: Malus domestica (apple)
Lineage: Eukaryota; Viridiplantae; Streptophyta; Magnoliopsida; Rosales; Rosaceae
Description: sRNA MD08G0169900
Source: RNAcentral